Molecule: non-coding RNA, 76 nt
Organism: Potamilus streckersoni
Lineage: Eukaryota; Metazoa; Mollusca; Bivalvia; Unionida; Unionidae
Source: the annotation of a GenBank genome assembly
UUACUGGUCGAAUGGUUCGAGCGUCCGCCUCGGAUGCGGAAGGUCGCGGGUUCGAACCCUGACAGAGUCAUAUAAG